UUAAUAGGUGGGCAAGUUGUAUCUGU
This 26-nucleotide non-coding RNA is filed under the name Homo sapiens (human). The record is from RNAcentral. Lineage: Eukaryota; Metazoa; Chordata; Mammalia; Primates; Hominidae.